CCUACGGGGGACAGCAGUGAGGAAUAUUGGUCAAUGGACGAGAGUCUGAACCAGCCAAGUAGCGUGAGGGAAGACUGCCCUAUGGGUUGUAAACCUCUUUUAUAAGGGAAUAAAACGACGCACGUUUGGGUGUUUGCAUGGACUUUAUGAAUAACGACCGGCUAACUCCGUGCCAGCAGCCGAGGUAAUACGGAAGGUCCGAGCGUUAUCCGGAUUUAUUGGGUGUAAAGGGAUCGUUGGUGGGUUUUGAAGGCUGAUGUGAAAAUCUGCGGCUACACCGUAAAAUUGCACUUAAAACUGGUAGUCUUGAGUGCAGUAGAGGCAGGCGGAAUUCCUAGUGUAGCGGUGAAAUGCUUAGAUAUCACGAAGAACACCGAUUGCGAAGGCAGCCUACUGAACUGUGACUGACGCUGAGGCUCGAAAGUGUGGGUAUCAAACAGGAUUAGAUACCCGUGUAGUC
Molecule: ribosomal RNA, 460 nt
Filed under: uncultured bacterium
Lineage: Bacteria
Description: partial 16S ribosomal RNA
Rfam family: Bacterial small subunit ribosomal RNA
Source: RNAcentral